UACGUAGGGGGCAAGCGUUGUCCGGAAUUAUUGGGCGUAAAGCGCGCGCAGGCGGUCAAGUAAGUCUGGUGUAUAAACCAAGGGCUCAACCUUUGGACGCAUUGGAAACUGGUUGACUGGAGUGUAGGAGAGGAAAGUGGAAUUCCACGUGUAGCGGUGAAAUGCGUAGAGAUCGGCAGGAACACCCAAGGGGAAGCCAGCUGGCUGGGCAUUUGCUGACGCUCAUGUGCGACAGCGUGGGGAGCGAACUGG
RNAcentral lists this ribosomal RNA (252 nucleotides) under uncultured bacterium. Its description in RNAcentral is "partial 16S ribosomal RNA". It matches the Rfam family "Bacterial small subunit ribosomal RNA", at positions 524 to 776 of the family's 1533-position model. The record is from RNAcentral.